RNAcentral lists this ribosomal RNA (721 nucleotides) under uncultured Desulfitobacterium sp. RNAcentral describes it as "bacterial SSU rRNA". It matches the Rfam family "Bacterial small subunit ribosomal RNA", at positions 9 to 701 of the family's 1533-position model. Lineage: Bacteria; Bacillati; Bacillota; Clostridia; Eubacteriales; Desulfitobacteriaceae. The record is from RNAcentral.
GAGUCUGAUCCUGGCUCAGGACGAACGCUGGCGGCGUGCCUAACACAUGCAAGUCGAACGGAGAACUCGAAAAGCUUGCUUUGAGAGUUCUUAGUGGCGGACGGGUGAGUAACGCGUGGGCAACCUCCCCCUUAAACCGGGACAACCCUUGGAAACGAGGGCUAAUACCGGAUACGCUUUUCUGAGGACAUCCUCGGGAAAGGAAAGGCGGCCUCUGAAGAUGCUGCCGAUAAGGGAUGGACCCGCGUCUGAUUAGCUGGUUGGUGGGGUAAAGGCCUACCAAGGCGACGAUCAGUAGCCGGCCUGAGAGGGUGAACGGCCACACUGGGACUGAGACACGGCCCAGACUCCUACGGGAGGCAGCAGUGGGGAAUCUUCCGCAAUGGACGAAAGUCUGACGGAGCAACGCCGCGUGUAUGACGAAGGCCUUCGGGUUGUAAAGUACUGUCUUUAGGGACGAACGGUAUCUAUGUGAAUAAUGUAGGUACAUGACGGUACCUAAGGAGGAAGCCCCGGCUAACUACGUGCCAGCAGCCGCGGUAAUACGUAGGGGGCGAGCGUUGUCCGGAAUCAUUGGGCGUAAAGGGCGCGUAGGCGGAUUUUUAAGUCUGGUGUGAAAACUUGGGGCUCAACCCCAAGCCUGCAUCGGAAACUGGGAAUCUUGAGGACAGGAGAGGAAAGUGGAAUUCCACGUGUAGCGGUGAAAUGCGUAGAGAUGUGG